UGUUUUGAAUCCAAUAAAAUAAAUUUCUAAAAAAAAAAAAUAAAUAAGAAAUAUUCAGUGCAGUGAAAUAACAAAUUACCGUGAAAAUAAUUUAACUCACCGUGAGUGGUUUGCUGAGAAAAGGAAAUUUGCAAUGCCUUAAGGUGUUUUCAAGCAGACGUAUUAACAGGGCUUAAAUCAUUUUAAGCUGCUAUAGACGGCAGCAGUGCGCCAGCGCAACGCAGUACCAGCUCGUGCCGCAACUACCCUACAUACAUAUGUGAGCAAGCGUGUGCGCUGCACGGAUAGGGAAGGACGGUUGAAAAUCGUUAAACAUACACAUCAAAUGAAUUUUAAAUGUUAAAACAAUCACUUUUAAUCUAAAAUAAAGUGCAAAGGAUAAAAGUUUGCAUGCGAGUGUAUAUGUCUGUGUGUGUCAAUAUAAAGCGUAUAACGAUAAAGUGAAAUGAAAGUGAAAAAUAAUAUAAUAUAAAUAUAUGCGACCACUUGUACAUACAACAGUGCUUGGCAGUAAAUGAUAAAUAAAAGCGGGAAUUAUAAAAAAAAAAACAAAAAAAAAA
Molecule: long non-coding RNA, 560 nt
Organism: Ceratitis capitata (Mediterranean fruit fly)
Lineage: Eukaryota; Metazoa; Arthropoda; Insecta; Diptera; Tephritidae
Exons: 2
Source: RefSeq, a predicted model, not a curated record